Molecule: ribosomal RNA, 440 nt
Filed under: uncultured bacterium
Lineage: Bacteria
Description: partial 16S ribosomal RNA
Rfam family: Bacterial small subunit ribosomal RNA
Source: RNAcentral
CCUACGGGAGGCAGCAGUGGGGGAUAUUGCACAAUGGGGGAAACCCUGAUGCAGCAACGCCGCGUGAGUGAAGAAGUAUUUCGGUAUGUAAAGCUCUAUCAGCAGGGAAGAGAAUGCCGGUACCUGACCACGAAGCCGCGGCUAACUACGUGACAGCAGCCGCGGUCAUACGCAGGGGGCGAGCGUUAUCCGGAUUUACUGGGAGUAACGGGAGCGUAGACGGCUGGUCAAGUCUGAGGUGAAAGCCCUGGGCUUAACCCCGGAACGGCUUUGGAAACUGAGCAGCUAGAGUGCUGGAGAGGUAAGCGGAAUUCCAAGUGUAGCGGUGAAAUGCGUAGAUAUUAGGAGGAACACCAGUGGCGAAGGCGGCUUACUGGACAAUAACUGACGUUGAGGCUCGAAAGCGUGGGGAGCAAACAGGAUUAGAUACCCCAGUAGUC